Molecule: ribosomal RNA, 209 nt
Filed under: uncultured eukaryote
Lineage: Eukaryota
Description: partial 18S ribosomal RNA
Rfam family: Eukaryotic small subunit ribosomal RNA
Source: RNAcentral
UUAAAGUUGUUGCAGUUAAAAAGCUCGUAGUUGAAACUUGGGCCUGGCUGACCGGUCCGCCUCACCGCGUGCACUGGCUCGGCCGGGCCUUUCCUUCUGGGGAACCGCAUGGCCUUCAUUGGUCGUGUUGGGGAUCCAGGACUUUUACUUUGAAAAAAUUAGAGUGUUCAAAGCAGGCCUAUGCUCGAAUACAUUAGCAUGGAAUAAUA